GUGCUCACUUUGGCAGCACAUAUGCUAAAAUUAGAACAAUAGAAGAUUAGCAUGCCCCUGUGCAAGGAUAACAUGCAAAUUCAUGAAGCAUUCCAUAUUUUA
RNAcentral lists this small nuclear RNA (102 nucleotides) under Ursus thibetanus thibetanus. Lineage: Eukaryota; Metazoa; Chordata; Mammalia; Carnivora; Ursidae. The record is from RNAcentral.